This is a long non-coding RNA of Dermochelys coriacea (leatherback sea turtle), 470 nucleotides long. RefSeq lists it as uncharacterized. Lineage: Eukaryota; Metazoa; Chordata; Testudines; Dermochelyidae. The transcript is spliced from 3 exons. The record is from RefSeq and is a predicted model, not a curated record.
GUUGGAAUCAGCAGGGUGAGGAAGGGUGUUUCUGUCUGACUAAAGGUGCUUGACUGGCUGGAUUUACUGGAUGUGGGAGAGAGAAGACCUGAAAACUUUAACCCUAAGGUUUGGGCUUCCUAACAGGAAUUCAAGAAAGCUGUUUUUGGUGGGAAAAGAAUGUCAUCAGCAUAAAUAAAAACUUCAAAUAUCUCCAACAAUCCAUAAAGACAAAACAAUGGUGAGGCUGAAAGUGUCUGCAGCCAAAACAUCAGUCAGCUGAAUGCUUAAAAGUGAAACUGACUACAUCGAUUUUCAUUGUCCAUGAUGAGAGAAAUGCACCAAGUAAGACCUUGAUCUUCAUGGAAUCUGCUAGUGAGGACCCUACUGAGAUCACUAAUCCAGAGGAUUGCGCUAGCACAUCCCAGUACAGACCUGGGGCCAAAUAGCAUGAUCCUGUUGACUGCAGUGGUGCAGAUCAGGCCCAAAAU